GGGUGAGUACNGCGUGGGCAACCUGCCCUCCAGUUGGGGACAACAUUCCGAAAGGGAUGCUAAUACCGAAUGUGCUCCCUCCUCCGCAUGGAGGAGGGAGGAAAGAUGGCCUCUGCUUGCAAGCUAUCGCUGGAAGAUGGGCCCGCGUCUGAUUAGCUAGUUGGUGGGGUAACGGCUCACCAAGGCGAUGAUCAGUAGCCGGUCUGAGAGGAUGAACGGCCACAUUGGGACUGAGACACGGCCCAAACUCCUACGGGAGGCAGCAGUGGGGAAUCUUCCGCAAUGGACGAAAGUCUGACGGAGCAACGCCGCGUGAGUGAUGAAGGUCUUCGGAUUGUAAAACUCUGUUGUUAGGGACGAAAGCACCGUGUUCGAACAGGUCAUGGUGUUGACGGUACCUAACGAGGAAGCCACGGCUAACUACGUGCCAGCAGCCGCGGUAAUACGUAGGUGGCAAGCGUUGUCCGGAAUUAUUGGGCGUAAAGAGCAUGUAGGCGGGCUUUUAAGUCUGACGUGAAAAUGCGGGGCUUAACCCCGUAUGGCGUUGGAUACUGGAAGUCUUGAGUGCAGGAGAGGAAAGGGGAAUUCCCAGUGUAGCGGUGAAAUGCGUAGAUAUUGGGAGGAACACCAGUGGCGAAGGCGCCUUUCUGGACUGUGUCUGACGCUGAGAUGCGAAAGCCAGGGUAGCAAACGGGAUUAGAUACCCCGGUAGUCCUGGCCGUAAACGAUGGAUACUAGGUGUAGGAGGUAU
RNAcentral lists this ribosomal RNA (751 nucleotides) under uncultured bacterium. Its description in RNAcentral is "bacterial SSU rRNA". It matches the Rfam family "Bacterial small subunit ribosomal RNA", at positions 104 to 832 of the family's 1533-position model. The record is from RNAcentral.